This 468-nucleotide ribosomal RNA is filed under the name uncultured bacterium. Its description in RNAcentral is "partial 16S ribosomal RNA". It matches the Rfam family "Bacterial small subunit ribosomal RNA", at positions 28 to 507 of the family's 1533-position model. The record is from RNAcentral.
GACGAACGCUGGCGGCGUGCUUAACACAUGCAAGUCGAACGGAAAGGCCCUGCUUUUGUGGGGUGCUCGAGUGGCGAACGGGUGAGUAACACGUGAGUAACCUGCCCUUGACUGUGUGAUAACUUCAGGGAACACGGGCUAAUACCGCAUAUGAGCUCUUGAUGCAUGUUGUGGGAAGGAAAGAUUCGGCGGUGUGGGAAGGAAUCGCGGCUUAUGAGCUUGUUGGUGAGGUAGUGGCUUACAAAGGCUUCGACGGGUAGCCGGCCUGAGAGUGUGACCGGCCACAUUGGGACUGAGAUACGGCCCAGACGCCUACGGGAGGCAGCAGUGGGGAAUAUUGCACAAUGGGCGGAAGCCUGAUGCAGCAACGCCGCGUGCGGGAUGACGGCCUUCGGGUUGUAAACCGCUUUCGCCUGUGACGAAGCGUGAGUGACGGUAAUGGGUAAAGAAGCACCGGCUAACUACGUG